Molecule: ribosomal RNA, 460 nt
Filed under: uncultured Bacteroidota bacterium
Lineage: Bacteria; Pseudomonadati; Bacteroidota
Description: bacterial SSU rRNA
Rfam family: Bacterial small subunit ribosomal RNA
Source: RNAcentral
GCCUAACACAUGCAAGUGAACGGUAACAGAUCUCGCUUGCGAGAUGCUGACGAGUGGCGCACGGGUGCGUAACGCGUAUGCAAUCUACCUUUAACUGAGGAAUAGCCCAGAGAAAUUUGGAUUAAUACCUCAUAGUAUUAUUUAUAGGCAUCUAUUAAUAAUUAAAACUCCGGUGGUUAAAGAUGAGCAUGCGUCCUAUUAGCUAGUUGGUAAGGUAAAAGCUUACCAAGGCUACGAUAGGUAGGGGGCCUGAGAGGGUGACCCCCCACACUGGUACUGAGACACGGACCAGACUCCUACGGGAGGCAGCAGUGAGGAAUAUUGCGCAAUGGAGGAAACUCUGACGCAGCCAUGCCGCGUGCAGGAUGAAUGCCCUAUGGGUUGUAAACUGCUUUUCUGCAAGAAGAAUCCUUAGCACGUGUACUAAGCUGACGGUAUUGCAGNAAUAAGCACCGGGUAA